GGCCAGUACUGGGCCUGUCUUUUCCUUCUCAUGCUUCUCCACCUUGGACAGUAACUGCUGGUACAAGUGACUACAGAACCCAACAUCAUGAUGGAACUCAGGCUCUGUAUUCUUAUUGUUCUUGCAUAUCAGAAGUUGCCUUAAAAUUGAUUCUCCUCACUGGAAAUUCUUCAAAUUCAAAUCUAUCCAAGUGCUUGCUUGGUGAGGACCUUCCUGACACCCCUCAAAUGGCACCAGGUGUGUGACUGCCUGCUUCGUCAGAUUUCUGAAUCAGGCCCUGCUCAGGUACAGAGGUUUUCUGUCGUUUAGAAUCAUUAUAUGCAGGAGUUAGAAGAU
This 336-nucleotide long non-coding RNA is filed under the name Vombatus ursinus (common wombat). Its description in RNAcentral is "lncRNA (ENSVURG00010021521.1)". Lineage: Eukaryota; Metazoa; Chordata; Mammalia; Diprotodontia; Vombatidae. The record is from RNAcentral.